GCGUGCAGAACAGGACACGUGAGAGGGACAGGGAGAGAAAACGUACAAUUAUGGGUGUCUGGAGCACACACUAUUAAGGAGGGAUGGGCGGGACAGACACAUGCUUUCAUUCCUCUUGGGAAGAUACCUAGAAGUGGAAUUUGUAUAAUUGCGGGUCAUGUGAUGACUGCACAUUCAACUUCACUAAGAAAAAAG
This is a long non-coding RNA of Hipposideros armiger (great roundleaf bat), 195 nucleotides long. RefSeq lists it as uncharacterized. The record is from RefSeq and is a predicted model, not a curated record. Lineage: Eukaryota; Metazoa; Chordata; Mammalia; Chiroptera; Hipposideridae. The transcript has 3 exons.